GCGCAGCUGACUGGGAUAGCUCAGUUGGUAAGAGCAUGAGACUGUUAAUCUCAGGGUUGUAGGUUUGAGCCCCACAUUGGGCA
RNAcentral lists this transfer RNA (83 nucleotides) under Podarcis lilfordi (Lilford's wall lizard). Its description in RNAcentral is "tRNA.Asn". The stretch from base 17 to 75 matches the Rfam family "tRNA", at positions 8 to 63 of the family's 71-position model. From Rfam's summary of the family: Transfer RNA (tRNA) molecules are approximately 80 nucleotides in length. The record is from RNAcentral. Lineage: Eukaryota; Metazoa; Chordata; Lepidosauria; Squamata; Lacertidae.